AGCAGCCGCGGUAAUUCCAGCUCCAAUAGCGUAUAUUAAAGUUGUUGCAGUUAAAAAGCUCGUAGUUGAAUUUCGGGAUCAAAUUGUCGGUCGUGCCUUGGUACGUACUGGUAUUAUUGGUUCCUACCUUCUGAAGAACCGCGAUGUCAUUAAUUUGGUGUCGUGGGGAAUCAGGACUGUUACUUUGAAAAAUUAGAGUGUUUAAAGCAGGCUUACGCUUGAAUACAUUAGCAUGGAAUAAUGAAAUAGGACGUUUGAUUCUAUUUUGUUGGUUUCUAGGAUUGACGUAAUGAUUAAUAGGGAUAGUUGGGGGCAUUAGUAUUCAAUUGUCAGAGGUGAAAUUCUUGGAUUUAUUGAAGACUAACUACUGCGAAAGCAUUUGCCAAGGAUGUUUUCAUUAAUCAAGAACGAAAGUUAGGGGAUCGAAGACGAUCAGAUACCGUCGUAGUC
RNAcentral lists this ribosomal RNA (450 nucleotides) under uncultured Glomus. RNAcentral's name for it is "SSU rRNA". It matches the Rfam family "Eukaryotic small subunit ribosomal RNA", at positions 569 to 1025 of the family's 1831-position model. Lineage: Eukaryota; Fungi; Glomeromycota; Glomeromycetes; Glomerales; Glomeraceae. The record is from RNAcentral.